AUUUUGAGUUAAUAGAUGGAAAAUUUGUCGGGUUUAUAAUUGCUGUACAAAAUUUCUGAAAUUUUGUACAGUAAUUAAAAACCCAACAAAUUUUCCAUGUAUUA
This 104-nucleotide microRNA precursor is filed under the name Paramuricea clavata. The record is from RNAcentral. Lineage: Eukaryota; Metazoa; Cnidaria; Anthozoa; Malacalcyonacea; Plexauridae.